Molecule: long non-coding RNA, 351 nt
Organism: Onychomys torridus (southern grasshopper mouse)
Lineage: Eukaryota; Metazoa; Chordata; Mammalia; Rodentia; Cricetidae
Exons: 2
Source: RefSeq, a predicted model, not a curated record
GCCUCACGUGCUCUCGGGUCAUGGUCUGCAGACGUAGGCGCGUGCGCAGUGCUCUCUGCUGCAGACUGUCCUGAAGUCCCUGCAGACAGCCCACGCCACCGUGGCGGCUCUCCCUCAGGAACAGACUGUUGCCAUGGCUGCUCAUCCUGUCUCUGCGGUGGACAGAGGAGACCAGGUGCUUUGGUGGCAAAGGUGAGUUACUGGAAUAGAGUACAAAAAACAAACUAUCUGCAGGAUGUGGCUGAGCUGAGUCGCGUAGCCAGAGACUCUGCAGGACCCACGGGGCCCAGAGCAUCUGAGCGGUGAAUUCUUCAAGUCUUCGAUUUUAAAAAAAAAAAAAAAAAAAAAAAG